GCGGGUAUGAUGGAAUUGGCAGACAUGCGAGAUUUAGGUUCUCGUGUCGUGAGACGUGCAGGUUCGACCCCUGUUACCCGCACCA
RNAcentral lists this transfer RNA (85 nucleotides) under Clostridiales bacterium. RNAcentral describes it as "tRNA-Leu". It matches the Rfam family "tRNA". Rfam says of the family: Transfer RNA (tRNA) molecules are approximately 80 nucleotides in length. The record is from RNAcentral. Lineage: Bacteria; Bacillati; Bacillota; Clostridia; Eubacteriales. RNAcentral also lists the same sequence under 2 other names.